Molecule: ribosomal RNA, 509 nt
Filed under: uncultured bacterium
Lineage: Bacteria
Description: bacterial SSU rRNA
Rfam family: Bacterial small subunit ribosomal RNA
Source: RNAcentral
GACGAACGCUGGCGGCGUGCCUAAUACAUGCAAGUCGAACGCACUCUCGUUUAGAUUGAAGGAGCUUGCUCCUGAUUGAUAAACAUUUGAGUGAGUGGCGGACGGGUGAGUAACACGUGGGUAACCUGCCCUAAAGUGGGGGAUAAUAUUUGGAAACAGAUGCUAAUACCGCAUAAAACCUAAACACCGCAUGGUGUAGGGUUGAAAGAUGGUUUCGGCUAUCACUUUAGGAUGGACCCGCGGUGCAUUAGUUAGUUGGUGAGGUAAAGGCUCACCAAGACCGUGAUGCAUAGCCGACCUGAGAGGGUAAUCGGCCACACUGGGACUGAGACACGGUCCAGACCCCUACGGGAGGCUGCAGUAGGGAAUCUUCCACAAUGGACGAAAGUCUGAUGGAGCAACGCCGCGUGAGUGAAGAAGGUUUUCGAUCGUAAAACUCUGUUGUUGGAGAAGAAUGUAUCUGAUAGUAACUGAUCAGGUAGUGACGGUAUCCAACCAGAAAGCCACGG